Molecule: ribosomal RNA, 471 nt
Filed under: uncultured bacterium
Lineage: Bacteria
Description: bacterial SSU rRNA
Rfam family: Bacterial small subunit ribosomal RNA
Source: RNAcentral
UGGGGAAUUGUUCACAAUGGGCGCAAGCCUGAUGACGCAACGCCGCGUGGAGGAUGAAGGUCUUCGGAUUGUAAACUCCUGUUGCCAGGGACGAAAAGCUUCGACCUAAUACGUCGAAGUCUGACGGUACCUGGUGAGGAAGCCCCGGCUAACUCUGUGCCAGCAGCCGCGGUAAUACAGAGGGGGCAAGCGUUGUUCGGAAUUACUGGGCGUAAAGGGCGCGUAGGUGGCCUUCUAAGUCGAACGUGAAAUCCCUGGGCUCAACCCAGGAACUGCGUCCGAGACUGGGAGGCUUGAAUCCGGGAGAGGGAUGCGGAAUUCCAGGUGUAGCGGUGAAAUGCGUAGAUAUCUGGAGGAACACCGGUGGCGAAGGCGGCAUCCUGGACCGGUAUUGACACUGAGGCGCGAAAGCCAGGGGAGCAAACGGGAUUAGAUACCCCGGUAGUCCCUGAGCGGGCUGGCAAGGCGCAU